Molecule: ribosomal RNA, 332 nt
Filed under: uncultured bacterium
Lineage: Bacteria
Description: bacterial SSU rRNA
Rfam family: Bacterial small subunit ribosomal RNA
Source: RNAcentral
CGCGUAGGCGGCUCGAUAAGUUGGCUGUGAAAGGUCCUGGCUCAACUGGGAUAAGUCAGCCGAGACUGUCGGGCUUGAGGGCGGUAGAGGAAGGUGGAAUUCCGGGUGUAGUGGUGAAAUGCGUAGAUAUCCGGAGGAACACCGGUGGCGAAGGCGGCCUUCUGGGCCGUACCUGACGCUGAGGCGCGAAAGCGUGGGGAGCGAACUGAAUUAGAUACUCAGGUAGUCCACGCCCUAAACGAUGGACGCUAGGUGUAGGGGGUAUCGACCCCUCCUGUGCCGAAGCUAACGCAUUAAGCGUCCCGCCUGGGGAGUACGGCCGCAAGGCUAAA